RNAcentral lists this ribosomal RNA (530 nucleotides) under uncultured prokaryote. RNAcentral describes it as "bacterial SSU rRNA". It matches the Rfam family "Bacterial small subunit ribosomal RNA", at positions 355 to 896 of the family's 1533-position model. The record is from RNAcentral.
UGGGGAAUAUUGGGCAAUGGAGGAAACUCUGACCCAGCGACGCCGCGUGAGGGAUGAAGGCCUUCGGGUUGUAAACCUCUUUCAGUAGGGAAGAAGCGAAAGUGACGGUACCUACAGAAGAAGCACCGGCUAACUAUGUGCCAGCAGCCGCGGUAAUACAUAGGGUGCAAGCGUUGUCCGGAAUUAUUGGGCGUAAAGAGCUCGUAGGUGGUUCGUCACGUCGGAUGUAAAAAUCUGGGGCUUAACCCCAGACCUGCAUUCGAUACGGGCGAGCUAGAGUGUGGUAGGGGAGACUGGAAUUCCUGGUGUAGCGGUGGAAUGCGCAGAUAUCAGGAGGAACACCAAUGGCGAAGGCAGGUCUCUGGGCCAUUACUGACACUGAGGAGCGAAAGCGUGGGGAGCGAACAGGAUUAGAUACCCUGGUAGUCCACGCCGUAAACGGUGGGCACUAGUUGUGGGAACCUUCCACGGUUUCUGCGACGCAGCUAACGCAUUAAGUGCCCCGCCUGGGGAGUACGAUCGCAAGAUUA